AUUGAACGCUGGCGGCAUGCCUUACACAUGCAAGUCGAACGGUAACAGGUCUUCGGAUGCUGACGAGUGGCGAACGGGUGAGUAAUACAUCGGAACGUGCCCGAGAGUGGGGGAUAACGAAGCGAAAGCUUUGCUAAUACCGCAUACGAUCUCAGGAUGAAAGCAGGGGAUCGCAAGGCCUUGCGCUCACGGAGCGGCCGAUGGCAGAUUAGGUAGUUGGUGGGAUAAAAGCUUACCAAGCCGACGAUCUGUAGCUGGUCUGAGAGGACGACCAGCCACACUGGGACUGAGACACGGCCCAGACUCCUACGGGAGGCAGCAGUGGGGAAUUUUGGACAAUGGGCGCAAGCCUGAUCCAGCCAUGCCGCGUGCAGGAUGAAGGCCUUCGGGUUGUAAACUGCUUUUGUACGGAACGAAAAGACUCUGGUUAAUACCUGGGGUCCAUGACGGUACCGUAAGAAUAAGCACCGGCUAACUACGUGCCAGCAGCCGCGGUAAUACGUAGGGUGCGAGCGUUAAUCGGAAUUACUGGGCGUAAAGCGUGCGCAGGCGGUUAUGUAAGACAGAUGUGAAAUCCCCGGGCUCAACCUGGGAACUGCAUUUGUGACUGCAUAGCUAGAGUACGGCAGAGGGGGAUGGAAUUCCGCGUGUAGCAGUGAAAUGCGUAGAUAUGCGGAGGAACACCGAUGGCGAAGGCAAUCCCCUGGGCCUGUACUGACGCUCAUGCACGAAAGCGUGGGGAGCAAACAGG
Molecule: ribosomal RNA, 751 nt
Filed under: uncultured beta proteobacterium
Lineage: Bacteria; Pseudomonadati; Pseudomonadota; Betaproteobacteria
Description: bacterial SSU rRNA
Rfam family: Bacterial small subunit ribosomal RNA
Source: RNAcentral